UACGUAGGAGGCGAGCGUUAUCCGGAAUGACUGGGCGUAAAGGGUGCGUAGGUGGUUUGACAAGUUGGUAGCGUAACUCCGAGGCUCAACCUCGGCACUACUACCAAAACUGUCGGACUUGAGUGCAGGAGGGGCAAUUGGAAUUUCUAGUGUAGCGGUGGAAUGCGUAGAUAUUAGGAAGAACACCGGAGGCGAAGGCGGCUUACUGGACUGUAACUGACGCUGAGGCUCGAAAGCGUGGGGAGCAAACAGG
Molecule: ribosomal RNA, 253 nt
Filed under: uncultured Eubacteriales bacterium
Lineage: Bacteria; Bacillati; Bacillota; Clostridia; Eubacteriales
Description: uncultured Clostridiales bacterium partial 16S ribosomal RNA
Rfam family: Bacterial small subunit ribosomal RNA
Source: RNAcentral